RNAcentral lists this ribosomal RNA (497 nucleotides) under uncultured bacterium. RNAcentral's name for it is "partial 16S ribosomal RNA". It matches the Rfam family "Bacterial small subunit ribosomal RNA", at positions 28 to 507 of the family's 1533-position model. The record is from RNAcentral.
GACGAACGCUGGCGGCGUGCCUAAUACAUGCAAGUUGAGCGCUGAAGGUUGGUCCUUGUACCAACUGGAUGAGCAGCGAACGGGUGAGAAACGCGUGGGGAAUCUGCCUUUGAGCGGGGGACAACAUUUGGAAACGAAUGCUAAUACCGCAUAAAAACUUUAAACACAAGUUUUAAGUUUGAAAGAUGCAAUUGCAUCACUCAAAGAUGAUCCCGCGUUGUAUUAGCUAGUUGGUGAGGUAAAGGCUCACCAAGGCGAUGAUACAUAGCCGACCUGAGAGGGUGAUUGGCCACAUUGGGAGUGGGACACGGCCCAAACUCCUACGGGAGGCAGCAGUAGGGAAUCUUCGGCAAUGGACGAAAGUCUGACCGAGCAACGCCGCGUGAGUGAAGAAGGUUUUCGGAUCGUAAAACUCUGUUGGUAGAGAAGAAAGUUGGUGAGAGUGGAAAGCUCAUCAAGUGACGGUAACUACGCAGAAAGGGACGGCUAACUACGUG